This 430-nucleotide ribosomal RNA is filed under the name uncultured bacterium. RNAcentral describes it as "bacterial SSU rRNA". It matches the Rfam family "Bacterial small subunit ribosomal RNA", at positions 32 to 489 of the family's 1533-position model. The record is from RNAcentral.
AAUCAACGCUGGCGGCGUGCCUAACACAUGCAAGUCGCACGAAGAAAGUGGAGCAAUCCAUGAGUACAGUGGCGCACGGGUGAGUAACACGUGAAUAAUCUACCUCCGAGUGGGGAAUAACCUAGAGAAAUCUGGGCUAAUACCGCAUAACACUUACGAGUCAAAGCAGCAAUGCGCUUGGAGAGGAGUUCGCGGCAGAUUAGUUAGUUGGCAGGGUAAUGGCCUACCAAGACGAUGAUCUGUAUCCGGCCUGAGAGGGCGCACGGACACACUGGAACUGAAACACGGUCCAGACUCCUACGGGAGGCAGCAGUGGGGAAUUUUGCGCAAUGGGGGAAACCCUGACGCAGCAACGCCGCGUGGAGGAUGAAAUCCCUUGGGAUGUAAACUCCUUUCGAUCGGGAAGAUUAUGACGGUACCGAUAGAAGAA